AUGCAAGUCUAAGUUUAAGCACCUAAACGGCGAAACUGCGAAUGGCUCAUUAAAUCAGUUAUCGUAUAUUUGAUAGUACCUACUACAUGGAUAACCGUGGUAAUUCUAGAGCUAAUACAUGCUUAAAAUCCCGACUUCGGAAGGGAUGUAUUUAUUAGAUUAAAAACCAAUGCCCUUCGGGGCUCACUGGUGAUUCAUAAUAACUUCUCGAAUCGCAUGGCCUUGUGCCGGCGAUGGUUCAUUCAAAUUUCUGCCCUAUCAACUUUCGACGGCUGGGUCUUGGCCAGCCGUGGUUACAACGGGUAACGGAGGGUUAGGGCUUGACCCCGGAGAAGGAGCCUGAGAAACGGCUACUACAUCCAAGGAAGGCAGCAGGCGCGCAAAUUACCCAAUCCCGAUACGGGGAGGUAGUGACAAUAAAUACUGAUACAGGGCUCUUUUGGGUCUUGUAAUUGGAAUGAGUACAAUUUAAAUCCCUUAACGAGGAACAAUUGGAGGGCAAGUCUGGUGCCAGCAGCCGCGGUAAUUCCAGCUCCAAUAGCGUAUAUUAAAGUUGUUGCAGUUAAAAAGCUCGUAGUUGAACCUUGGGCCUGGCUGGCCGGUCUGCCUCACCGCAUGCACUGGUCCGGCCGGGCCUUUCCCUCUGGGGAGCCGCAUGCCCUUCAUUGGGUGUGUCGGGGAACCAGGACUUUUACUGUGAAAAAAUUAGAGUGUUCAAAGCAGGCCUAUGCUCGAAUACAUUAGCAUGGAAUAAUAGAAUAGGACGUUGCGGUUCUAUUUUGUUGGUUUCUAGGACCGCCGUAAUGAUUAAUAGGGACAGUCGGGGGCAUCAGUAUUCAAUCGUCAGAGGUGAAAUUCUUGGAUCGAUUGAAGACUAACUACUGCGAAAGCAUUUGCCAAGGAUGUUUUCAUUAAUCAGGAACGAAAGUUAGGGGAUCGAAAACGAUCAGAUACCGUUGUAGUCUUAACCAUAAACUAUGCCGACUAGGGAUCGGGCGAUGUUUUUCUUUGACUCGCUCGGCACCUUACACGAAAGUAAAGUUUUUGGGUUCUGGGGGGAG
Molecule: ribosomal RNA, 1061 nt
Filed under: Chrysoporthe deuterocubensis
Lineage: Eukaryota; Fungi; Ascomycota; Sordariomycetes; Diaporthales; Cryphonectriaceae
Description: SSU rRNA
Rfam family: Eukaryotic small subunit ribosomal RNA
Source: RNAcentral